UCCAAAGGCAUUGGUUUUGUCUUGUUCUUCACUCAAGAUUGCAUGAGCUUUGUCAUUAUGCCUUUUCCAAGCAUUUCAAAUUCCCAUGUAUUGUAUGGAGAUCUUCAUUUUUUAAUUGCUGCCACAGUCUACUCUUCGGGGAUCGUUUGAGCUGAAAGAAAGGAAUUACCCAUAUUCCCCAAUCUCUUCAACUUCACAGCUCUCUGUUUUAUUGACUUUGUUUGCAGAUGGCUUGUGCAUUUUCCAAUUAAUUGAAUUAAUUGGGCCUUAUCUUGUUGAUGGAGAUAGCUCUCUGCAAAUGGGGGUUUUUAUCUCUGCUGUGUUUAGGUCUCUCAUUUUCAAUUGGAUUUUCAGUUGAGGGGCUACAUGGUAAUUCAAGAGUACGAGGAGUGAAUUUGGGUGGAUGGUUGGUGAUUGAGGGUUGGAUUAAGCCUUCUCUGUUUGAUGAUAUUCCCAAUAGUGACAUGCUUGAUGGAACAGAGGUCCAACUAAAGUCAGUGAGUGGGAACAAAUAUGUUUCUGCUGACAAUGGUGGCGGAGGGGCUGUCGCGGUUGACAGAGACGUUCCUCUUGCUUGGGAGACAUUUCGGUUAUGGAGAGUAUCCGAGUCAAUCUUCCAAUUCCGUACUUCUGGUGGCCAGUUUCUGACCUGUGGUGGUGAUGGGGACAACGUUACUGCUGCAGCAGAGUUACCGUCUGACACAGAAACCUUUUACUUGGAAAGAAAUAACAAUCAAAUUCACAUCAAACUCAAGACUGGAAUAUAUUUACAGGCUUCAAAUGCCAACCAGCUCACAGCGGACUAUCCAGGGACACCCGGAUGGGAUGAUAAUGCUGCUACAUUUGAAUUGAUAAUUGUGUCUAAUAAUUUACAUGGAGACUACCAGUUUGCUAAUGGCUACGGACGUGAUAAGGCAGAAGAAGUUUACAAGAAUCACAGGAACAAUUUUAUCACUGUAGAAGAUUUCAAUUUUCUCUAUAGGCAUGGAAUCAAUACUGUGAGAAUACCAGUAGGCUGGUGGAUAGCUUACGAUCCCAAUCCUCCACCUCCUUUUAUCGGUGGAAGUUUGCAAGCACUCGAUAAUGCUUUUUCGUGGGCACAAGAGUACAACAUAAAGUGCAUAGUUGACCUUCAUGCUGCACCAGGCUCCCAGAAUGGGAUGGAACACAGUUCUAGUAGAGAUGGGACGACAGGAUGGCCCACAUCAUCUGAUUACAUCUCACAAAGUCUAAAUGCAAUAGAUUUUCUCGCUUCAAGGUAUGCUCAGCAUCCUUCGUUGCUGGGGAUUGAGCUAUUAAAUGAGCCAUCUGCUGCGUUGGUUCCACUCGACACCCUAACUUCAUAUUAUAAACAAGGAUACAAGAUUGUUAGGAAAUACUCAUCCACUGCUUAUGUCAUAUUUUGCCAAAGAAUUGGCAAUGCUGAUCCAUCGGAGCUCUACCAGGCUAACUUAGGCGAUACAAAUACCGUAAUAGACUUGCAUUACUACAAUCUAUUCGACCCUUUUUUUGCCAACAUGAGCUCUAUAGACAACAUUCAGUAUAUAUACAAGAGUAGGGGAACACAGUUACAGUCUCUGAAUGGUGCAAAUGGACCGCUUGUUUUCAUCGAAUGCAGGGGAAUGGGUGAACGAGUGGAACGUGAAUGGAUCCCAAACCGAUUACCAAGAUUAUGGACGAGCCCAGUUGGAGGUGUACAAUGCUGCUUCGUUUGGAUGGGCUUACUGGACACUUAAAAAUGACAGGAAGCACUGGGAUUUUGAGUGGAACGUACGCAACAACUACCUCCAACUUCAACUAGGUUGUUCAUCAUGUAGGCGAAGUUGGAGUUAUGUGAUGUUUCUUGGAUUGGCAUUCGGCUUCUUCUUCGUCUACGGUGUGUAGAAACUGUCGCAAUCCGGCAUUGAACACCAGCAGCCGGGAAAUGUGGGAUGAAAACUGAUGGAAGUUACCAUGCUUCCUUCAAAUUGAGCUCAACUCGACUUUAUUCAUUGUAAGUAUCAUUUUUCUAAUAAAAUGGAAUUCUCUUAUUGGCCACAAGACAGCUCUAUUGACCCACUGAAUUAUUAAAUAAGUUGAAAGUUGAUCGGAAAUGAAACUGAUUUUGCCAUCUUUUCAA
RNA transcript from Salvia hispanica, 2119 nucleotides. It is a transcript of the gene named putative glucan 1,3-beta-glucosidase A, with no coding region annotated. The record is from RefSeq and is a predicted model, not a curated record. NCBI's taxonomy places the organism in Eukaryota, Viridiplantae, Streptophyta, Magnoliopsida, Lamiales, Lamiaceae.